This 1095-nucleotide long non-coding RNA is filed under the name Marmota monax (woodchuck). The record is from RNAcentral. Lineage: Eukaryota; Metazoa; Chordata; Mammalia; Rodentia; Sciuridae.
UAUUGGCCUCAUAGAAUGAGAUUGGAAGUGCUGCCUUUUUUUUUAUAUUUCCUGAAAUAAAUUGAAGAGUAUUGGUAUUAGUUCUUCUUUAAAGGUCUUUUAGACGUCGGCUGUGUAUCCAUCCAAUCCAGGGCUUUUCUUGGUUGGUAAGCUUUGUUUUCUAUUUUAUCACUUGAUAUUGGUCUGUUUCAAUUGUGUAUGUCUUCCUGAUUAAAUCUGGGCAGAUCGUAUGACUUAAAAAAUUUUCUGAUAACUUCAAUGUCUUCUAUUUUAUUGGAGUAUAAGAUUUCAAAAUAAUUUCAAAUUAUCCUCUGUAUUUCUGUCAUAUCUCUUGUUAUAUUACCAUUUUCAUCACAUAUACUGGUAAUUUGAGUUCUCUCUCUCUCAUUCUCUAUGUUAGCAUGGCUAAGGGUCUGUCAGUUUUAUUUAUUUAUUUUUAGAACCAACUUUUUUUUUGUCCAUUUUGUCAUUUGUUUCUUUUGUUUCAAUUUUAGCUUUAAUGUUAAUUAUUUCUUGCCUUCUACUGCUUUUGCUGCUGGUUUGUUCUUCUUUUUCUAGGGCUUUGAGAGGUAAUGUGAGGUCAUUUAUUUGUUAACUUUUUUUUUCUUUGAAGGAAUGAACUCCAUGCAAUGAAUUUUCCUCUUAGUACUGCUUUCAUAGUGUCUCAGAUUUCCAUAGGUUGUGUCUAUGUUCUUAUUUACCCAUAAGAAAUUUUUAAUCCUCUCCUUGAUUCCUUCUGCAAUGAAUUGUUCAUUUAGUAGCCUAUUGUUUGGUCUCCAGGUGAUGGAGAAAUUUUUAUUUUUAUUUUGAUUCCAAAUUCCAUAUAAUUAUGAUCUGAUGAAAUGCUUGGUAGUGUCUCUACUUUUUUAUAUUUGCUAAGAGUUGCUUUGUGACAUAGUAUAUGGUCUAUUUUAGUGAAGGAUCCAUGUGCUACUGAGAAUAAAGUGUUUCUGUUUGAUGCACAUUGAAAUAUUCUAUAUGUGUCAGUUAAGUCUAAGUUAUUGAAUGUGUUAUUGAGUUUUAUAGUUUUUUUAUUCAAUAAAAUAAAACUUUUGUUUGGAAGAUCUGUCCAGUGGUAAUAGAGGUGUGUUAAAG